RNAcentral lists this ribosomal RNA (497 nucleotides) under uncultured bacterium. RNAcentral's name for it is "partial 16S ribosomal RNA". It matches the Rfam family "Bacterial small subunit ribosomal RNA", at positions 28 to 507 of the family's 1533-position model. The record is from RNAcentral.
GAUGAACGCUGGCGGCGUGCCUAAUACAUGCCAGUCGAGCGAACAGAUGAGGAGCUUGCUCCUCUGACGUUAGCGGCGGACGGGUGAGUAACACGUGGAUAACCUACCUAUAAGACUGGGAUAACUUCGGGAAACCGGAGCUAAUACCGGAUAAUAUAUUGAACCGCAUGGUUCAAUAGUGAAAGACGGUUUUGCUGUCACUUAUAGAUGGAUCCGCGCCGCAUUAGCUAGUUGGUAAGGUACCGGCUUACCAAGGCAACGAUGCGUAACCGACCUGGCAGGGUGAUCGACCACACUGGAACUGAGAAACGGUCCAGACUCCUACGGUAGGCAGCAGUAGCGAAUCUUCCGCAAGGGGCGAAAGAAUGACGGGGCAACGCCGCGUGAGUGAUGAAGGUCUUCGGAUCGUAAAACUCUGUUAUUGGGGAAGAACAAAUGUGUAAGUAACUAUGAACGUAUUGACGGUACCUAAUCAGAAAGCCACGGCUAACUACGUG